UACGUAGGGUCCGAGCGUUGUCCGGAAUUAUUGGGCGUAAAGGGCUCGUAGGCGGUUUGUCACGUCGGGAGUGAAAACUCAGGGCUCAACCCUGAGCGUGCUUCCGAUACGGGCAGACUAGAGGUAUGCAGGGGAGAACGGAAUUCCUGGUGUAGCGGUGGAAUGCGCAGAUAUCAGGAGGAACACCGGUGGCGAAGGCGGUUCUCUGGGCAUGACCUGACGCUGAGGAGCGAAAGCAUGGGAAGCGAACAGG
Molecule: ribosomal RNA, 253 nt
Filed under: uncultured bacterium
Lineage: Bacteria
Description: partial 16S ribosomal RNA
Rfam family: Bacterial small subunit ribosomal RNA
Source: RNAcentral